Molecule: ribosomal RNA, 1140 nt
Filed under: Escherichia coli
Lineage: Bacteria; Pseudomonadati; Pseudomonadota; Gammaproteobacteria; Enterobacterales; Enterobacteriaceae
Description: bacterial LSU rRNA
Rfam family: Bacterial large subunit ribosomal RNA
Source: RNAcentral
UGUAUAAUGGGUCAGCGACUUAUAUUCUGUAGCAAGGUUAACCGAAUAGGGGAGCCGAAGGGAAACCGAGUCUUAACUGGGCGUUAAGUUGCAGGGUAUAGACCCGAAACCCGGUGAUCUAGCCAUGGGCAGGUUGAAGGUUGGGUAACACUAACUGGAGGACCGAACCGACUAAUGUUGAAAAAUUAGCGGAUGACUUGUGGCUGGGGGUGAAAGGCCAAUCAAACCGGGAGAUAGCUGGUUCUCCCCGAAAGCUAUUUAGGUAGCGCCUCGUGAAUUCAUCUCCGGGGGUAGAGCACUGUUUCGGCAAGGGGGUCAUCCCGACUUACCAACCCGAUGCAAACUGCGAAUACCGGAGAAUGUUAUCACGGGAGACACACGGCGGGUGCUAACGUCCGUCGUGAAGAGGGAAACAACCCAGACCGCCAGCUAAGGUCCCAAAGUCAUGGUUAAGUGGGAAACGAUGUGGGAAGGCCCAGACAGCCAGGAUGUUGGCUUAGAAGCAGCCAUCAUUUAAAGAAAGCGUAAUAGCUCACUGGUCGAGUCGGCCUGCGCGGAAGAUGUAACGGGGCUAAACCAUGCACCGAAGCUGCGGCAGCGACGCUUAUGCGUUGUUGGGUAGGGGAGCGUUCUGUAAGCCUGUGAAGGUGUGCUGUGAGGCAUGCUGGAGGUAUCAGAAGUGCGAAUGCUGACAUAAGUAACGAUAAAGCGGGUGAAAAGCCCGCUCGCCGGAAGACCAAGGGUUCCUGUCCAACGUUAAUCGGGGCAGGGUGAGUCGACCCCUAAGGCGAGGCCGAAAGGCGUAGUCGAUGGGAAACAGGUUAAUAUUCCUGUACUUGGUGUUACUGCGAAGGGGGGACGGAGAAGGCUAUGUUGGCCGGGCGACGGUUGUCCCGGUUUAAGCGUGUAGGCUGGUUUUCCAGGCAAAUCCGGAAAACCAAGGCUGAGGCGUGAUGACGAGGCACUACGGUGCUGAAGCGACAAAUGCCCUGCUUCCAGGAAAAGCCUCUAAGCAUCAGGUAACAUCAAAUCGUACCCCAAACCGACACAGGUGGUCAGGUAGAGAAUACCAAGGCGCUUGAGAGAACUCGGGUGAAGGAACUAGGCAAAAUGGUGCCGUAACUUCGGGAGAAGGCACGC